UAGCCUUUCGCAACCAAUCUUGCC
Molecule: non-coding RNA, 24 nt
Filed under: Arabidopsis thaliana (thale cress)
Lineage: Eukaryota; Viridiplantae; Streptophyta; Magnoliopsida; Brassicales; Brassicaceae
Source: RNAcentral